GACGAACGCUGGCGGCGUGCUUAACACAUGCAAGUCGAACGGUGAAGCGCCUUCCUUUUUGGUGGGUGUGGAUGAGUGGCGAACGGGUGAGUAACACGUGAGUAACCUGCCCCCUUCUUCUGGAUAACCGCAUGAAAGUGUGGCUAAUACGGGAUAUUCUGGGUCUGUCGCAUGAUGGGUCUGGGAAAGAUAUUGUUUCGGUGGGGGAUGGGCUCGCGGCCUAUCAGCUUGUUGGUGGGGUGAUGGCCUACCAAGGCGGUGACGGGUAGCCGGCCUGAGAGGGUGGACGGUCACAAUGGGACUGAGACACGGCACAGACACCUACGGGAGGCAGCAGUGGGGAAUAGUGCACGAUGGGCGCAAGCCGGAUGCAGCGACGCCGCGUGAGGGAUGGAGGCCUUCGGGUAGUGAACCUCUUUCGCCAGUGAAGCAGGCCUGCCUAGUUGGUGGUGGGUUGACGGUAGCUGGAUAAGAAGCGCCGGCUAACUACGUG
RNAcentral lists this ribosomal RNA (493 nucleotides) under uncultured bacterium. RNAcentral's name for it is "partial 16S ribosomal RNA". It matches the Rfam family "Bacterial small subunit ribosomal RNA", at positions 28 to 507 of the family's 1533-position model. The record is from RNAcentral.